UGGUAGUGGGCUCAGAUUUGGCCAAGUUAAUCUAAUGAACAAGAUCUUAUGGUCGUACCGAACUGCAUUUGGAAAAAAGUGAACGGUCUAGGACAAAAUAUUUAUUUUCUCUGUUCGCAGUCCACAUCUCCAGAAGUCCAUGGUUCGUUCAGCCUAAUAUUCCCUAUAUUUCAGUCAUCAGUAUGUUGUGGUUAUGGCACCGAUGGAAUGGGAAUUAGCGGCUUUGACUGCCUGAAUAUUCCGGGUGCAUUAAAUCCAGCAAACAUGGCUAUUCCCGGAAAUUCCCGUAUUUGCGGCAGGGAUGCAGGCCUCGUGCAGAAGACCGCAAUUGCUUUUAACACCAAAACUGUAUGUUCAAUGACAACUCCAUUCAGCAUUCGGUUUUUAAGCGACGCAUUCGAGUUUUCUGGAGCGGCCAUUACGGAAGCUGCCAAAGAGGAUAAGGGAUUUCAACUGGUCUAUUUGCAAUCGAACACAGGUUGUUAAAAACCUGCCUUGGCGCGAAUUCAUUGUUGCACGAAAAGCUAUCCAACAUUUUCGAUAUUUUACUUUUUUAUUAUAAUAAAUCAUUAUUAUCAUUA
This is a long non-coding RNA of Tigriopus californicus, 581 nucleotides long. RefSeq lists it as uncharacterized. NCBI's taxonomy places the organism in Eukaryota, Metazoa, Arthropoda, Copepoda, Harpacticoida, Harpacticidae. The transcript has 2 exons. The record is from RefSeq and is a predicted model, not a curated record.